RNAcentral lists this ribosomal RNA (446 nucleotides) under uncultured bacterium. Its description in RNAcentral is "bacterial SSU rRNA". It matches the Rfam family "Bacterial small subunit ribosomal RNA", at positions 331 to 794 of the family's 1533-position model. The record is from RNAcentral.
CCAGACUCCUACGGGAGGCAGCAGUGGGGAAUAUUGCACAAUGGGGGAAACCCUGAUGCAGCAACGCCGCGUGAGUGAAGAAGUCAUUCGUGAUGUAAAGCUCUAUCAGCAGGGAAGAAAAUGACGGUACCUGACCAAGAAGCCCCGGCUAACUACGUGCCAGCAGCCGCGGUAAUACGUAUGGGGCAAGCGUUAUCCGGAUUUACUGGGUGUAAAGGGAGCGCAGGCGGCCUGCCAAGUCUGGUGUGAAAACCCGGGGCCCAACCCCGGGCCUGCAUUGGAAACUGGCGGGCUGGAGUGUCGGAGGGGCAGGCGGAAUUCCUAGUGUAGCGGUGAAAUGCGUAGAUAUUAGGAGGAACACCGGUGGCGAAGGCGGCCUGCUGGACGAUGACUGACGCUGAGGCUCGAAAGCGUGGGGAGCAAACAGGAUUAGAUACCCUAGUACA